CUAGCAGUCUUUAUCUUCUCGACCUUCUCCAUGUUCUCGGAUGAUUUUCAAGUUUCCUCGAUUUACCAUCCUCUCCGACUGGAUGAGAGAGAAAUCUGAAAGCCAUUUGACAAUACAAACUAUAUAUUGACGUUGUCUCUCCCAUCGCCGAAGCACCAUGGUAGAUCUAUUAUCCUUCUCUACCUAUCAUGUGGGGCUCUUUAGUUGGAGAACAAGCUUAUGUAUAUGCCAAAUGAUCAUACUUCUACCACAAAGUUGGAUAUAUAUAUAUGGAGUUUAGUGAUAUUGCAGGUCCUUGAUCCCUACUUGUUUAUGAUGAAGUUCAUAUAUAUGUACAUGGAAUUUAUCAUCAGUAGUGUUUCAUGUGGAUCCAUAUAUAAAUAUAUGCUUUGAAGAAGCACAUCAAAAACAGACAAGUCCAUUGUGUCUCCCCAUCUAUUGAGCUUAUUCUAGAAUAUAUAGCCUCUACAAUGUCAAGGUCCACUGCAAACAAGCUUCUGAAAUUGUUUUGUCAUUGUAACAAAAAAACACUUUGCUGCUAAGCAUUGACUUACUAAGAAAUCAUGUAUGUCAAUCUUGUGUGUCUAUAUGUUUGUUGAGAAAGUAUAUAUGUGCGAUUGCAUUUGCACAUAUAUAUUCUUCUUACACUCUCUUAGUUCUAUUAAAUGAAGUGCCAUGAUCGAGGUCAUAUUAUCUGUCCAAAAAAGUACUACUAGUUUUUUCUUUACAUUAUGUAAUGAUCAACCAAGUAUUACAUUGUUGGUUAUUCUUUAAA
Long non-coding RNA from Rosa rugosa (rugosa rose), 775 nucleotides. RefSeq lists it as uncharacterized. NCBI's taxonomy places the organism in Eukaryota, Viridiplantae, Streptophyta, Magnoliopsida, Rosales, Rosaceae. The transcript is spliced from 4 exons. The record is from RefSeq and is a predicted model, not a curated record.